UGUUGGAACUAUUUAAAGAUCAGGCAACCUCCAUUUUCAUCCCUUUCUCUAGAGAUAGGUGCCUCAGUGAUGUGCCUGACCAUGCUAUGCUCAUGGUGAAAGAGCAGGGCAAAGAGACAGCACUGAUGUAGGUGUAGGAGAGAUGUCCAUUAUGACUCCCCACUUGGUGCUCUCCAUCUCCCUGUGCUGGGCUGCAGAAGCUGCAUGUCUACCAUGGCUCACAUAAAGAGGUGCCUCCUUUGCCAAGCUGCCAAAGAGAAUCAUCAUCUUGACUCUUGUGAGGUGGAUUUGUUUUGCUCCUGAAGGCCAGCAGCUACCAGAGGCAUCUGCACAGGCCUGCCUUUGCUGAAAUCCACUUGUGUGCUCCAAGACAGUGUGUGUGUCACCUCUGCACAGGUCUGGUCCCAUCACGGCCCAGCUUUGCACUGGCACCCAACAUGCAGUCAGGGGGUGAACUCUCAAUAGCUUAAGAGAAGACUUGAAGAUGUAUAUGAAGACAUGGCUCCAGAGGGUACUUUGUAAACCUUGUGUUCCCAAGGGAUGGAUGUGCUGUGGUGGUAUGGAGAGCAGGCUCUUCACCUUGUCUGCACCUGCUUGGCUGCACAUCACCCAGGUGAAGUGCAUCCAAGCCUUUGGUGCCAGGGUGCCUGGACCCACCCCAGGGAGGAUCUGAAGCUAGUGAUCCAAAGCCUGUGCAAAAUGAGCUGCAGGGAUGCAAAUACAUCCUAAAGCACUUCAGCCAUCAUCAGCUACUAGAAGGAGAACUAACCUGAAAUCCAUCAUUCCUGUGUGGAAGCCAAAUGACUGAAAAAUCAUUACAUGUGCCAGCUCGUAAGUGAUGUGUGAUGAGGUGCUCAGCAGUUGAUCAUGGGAGAGAAGAAACUGCUUUAUGAAAGAGAGGGAGGGGGAAAGACAGAAGAAUCUGCCUACACCAAACUGAACCUUCUCCAAGAGAUGAGACACAGGUUUUGUUGCGCUGAAGUAACCGCUAAAAAAGAGAACCAUUGAACUUGGUGAUGGAA
Molecule: long non-coding RNA, 1022 nt
Organism: Pezoporus flaviventris
Lineage: Eukaryota; Metazoa; Chordata; Aves; Psittaciformes; Psittacidae
Exons: 3
Source: RefSeq, a predicted model, not a curated record